This 9687-nucleotide unclassified non-coding RNA is filed under the name Leishmania donovani. Its description in RNAcentral is "gene:LdHU3.29.0920(CDS-product:ATP-binding_casset te_protein_subfamily_A_member_10_putative)". The record is from RNAcentral. Lineage: Eukaryota; Euglenozoa; Kinetoplastea; Trypanosomatida; Trypanosomatidae.
AUGGAAAAGAAAUCGCUCUUCUCCAACUUCUGUACUUUUUUUUCGUUCAUUAUUGUUUAGAUCUUCUCACACACACACUCGCACGCUUGUUGUCGUCGCUUGAGCGCGCGCUGUGUGCUGCGGUGUCUUGACCUCUCGCUGUCUUUCGCUGUUUGCGUCCUCGUCUGCUUUGCCUUUUCGUUGUGUCCCUCAGGUGUAGGCGACGACAAGUCAGGAGCAACGACAGACGCGAAGAACAACGGCCGAACAAGGUAGCCACAGGGGACGGGACGAAACCAAAAGAGAACGCAACACACACUCACACACAGACGGUACGGUAUACGCGCCCACGCCGCUGUACCCUCACCCUCUCUUUCUCUCCCUCCCCGAAAGCGGCGACGCCACACUGUCUCUCCGCGCCGUUACCUUGUCUUUCCUCCAUCCAUCCUUUUUUUUUGUGCUCGCUUGCCUUUUAGGCGUUCCUUUCUCUCUUUUUGAUCUUUACUGUUUUGUUUUGUUUGAUUCGCCAACUAGUCCGCGCCCACUUUUACGCCACAGGGUUUCCCUCCACAAACUUCACCAAGCCUAGUCCAGCCCACUCCCGUGUCGCUCUCGCUCUGUGCUUGCUUUUGUCUUUGUGCCUUUUCUGCAAACAACAACCAUCAGACACACAUACACACACACACCAAAGAAAGGUGGGAAAACAUAUGUAAAGCAGAAGGACGCCACACAAACGUGGAAAAAAGAAAACAACAUAACAGCAACCUGAGAGCAAAGUCGGUAAGGCUUCAGGUCUGCGCAGCGCUCGGUGCUUAAGAGAAUUCUCUAUCUACACAUCUGUAUCUAUCUAGGCGAAGGAGUGGGCCUUUCAACUUUCUGUUUUUUUUUUUCGUGGUUUCGUUUCGUUUCGGGUCUUUGUAAAACACCAACCAACCAACCAACCAAACAACCAACCAACCAAGCGCGCGCAAACACACACAAAGAAAGCGAAAGAAGCUAGACAUACUGGCACAGACGACUUGCUGAUGUGAUACCGCGAAGACAAACCACCGCCCUACAAGCCCCCCCCCCUGCCACCGCCCCCGCAGAGAGAGAACGAAAGCCAAAAAAAAAUAGCAAACUUAACCCAUCAAGUCCGAAGCGCCUUUCUUUUCGUUUUACUUUUCUAGUGUCUUGAUCGCGCACCACCAGACAUCUUCACCUAUACGGGCGACGUAACGCUUCUGCUUCGAACGAAGAGAAAAUUUAGGAAAGAAAAAUAAAAGGCGUGCACAGCUCUGUCUUUCUACUCGUCUUACUCCUCUAUAUAUACCUCUCUCUCUCUUCGCUUAGCCCUGCCUCACUCCCUGCCCCCUCCCCACGCAUUGCACGGGUAGCGUGUUGCUCCACACAUCCGACGACGGCAAACGCACCAAGUCGAAGGGCGGAAAACAAAAAGGCCGUGUCUUGCGUGGCAUUUUGUGUUGGACCUCACUCACUCAGCGUGUCCGUGCGCGAACGCGAAGGAUCGACUUUCUGGCUGUUUUGAUUCUUUUUUUUUCGCGCUUCUCCCUGCGAUCCUCUUGUUUUCCCGUUCCCCCUCCCCCUGACUCCUCUCGUUUUCUCCUUUUCUUCGGGCACACGUCUGCUCGCGUGUCUGUGUGUCCGUGAGAGCCUGGCCGAGCUUGCGUUUUGUUUUCCAAAAGUUCUGCUCAUCGAGUUGGGCCGUUGUCCUGGUUGUGUCUUGAACAAGGCAACUCGAGAGGGCGUUUUCGUGUGUUCUUGUGCCGGUACAAUCACCGCUCUGAUCUAGCUGAGCGCGCGCCGAACGAUAAAGGAUACACGCCGCCUACAAACGGCACGCCCCAGACGCAUCCCCACUACUCAUCGAGCGAAACGAACAACAAAUAAAAAAAACAGGAAGUGCAGCGAAUUCGUGUCAAGGCGUCUUGGGCUAAUCCUUCUGCCCCCUUUCCUUUGUACUUUCCGUUAGGAAGCACUUCUUUCGCUGUACGUUAUCGCUCUGUUUUGUCUGUGUGUUCCUCCAAACACGUCCAUUUUUUUGUUUGGUUUUACGCAUCAACUUCCUCGCGGGUUUUCCAUCUUCAAAGCAACUCUCUUUUUUCCCGUUUUUGUUUCGUCUUGGGCUCGGCUCGCCGUCUCGCCCCCUCCCCCUCCUCUCCUCUGCCUUUCUCUUGUUUCCUCUUUUUUUUGCUGUUGUUGUUGCGGCUUCUGUUUGGAAGCUGAAGGGUGGGUGAUAGUGUGUGCCCCUACCCUCCUUCUCUUCUUUGUUUUUUUUUUGUUGCUUCCCGCUCUCCAAGUCUUCUGGUUGUGCCGUUUAUCACUCCGCCCUGUGAAUUGUGGCUGCGAUUCUUUUCGGCCCUAUAGAUCGACGGCGUGUGCGUUGGCCCGUGCGUUUGUCUCCGACUUCUCCCCUUCCGGCCCCUUCACCCGAAAGAAAAAAACAAACGGCUAAAAAAAGAUUGAGUCCUGCUAACGUUUUUUUUUUCAUUGUACUCUUUCAACUGCAGGUGACGCCGCCUUUGAUCACGUUUUUGGAUUUCUUCGACCUCUGCCCUCUCUUCGUUCUUUAUUUCGGCUUCAGCAGGUGAUUGUGUCUGUGUGUGUGCCGUUCUGUCUCUCUCCCCCACCCCGCGUCUUCUGAGGGCUGUUGUUGUGUGCUCCUGACGUAAAGCUGAUAUCCGCUUGCUUGCUGCCCUCUUUUACUCCGAUUUUUUUUGGCCCUUUUUUGGUUGACGCAGGCUACGUGUGUCAGUUUGACGCGUUUCGGUGUCUCCCUCUUGUCGAGUGUUGAUCUCUCCCGCGUUUGUCGUUUGUUGUCUGCCUCUGUCUGAGCGCUCACUCAACUCCCUCUUUUUUGCCCCUCUCUCCCCCCUCUUCUCUCUCCCCUCGCCGCCUCCUCUCCUCUCUCCCUGCCACACCACAGAAGCGCCCACACAGGACGUUUCAUCUGCGCACCGCUCGUUUUUUUUGUGUGGUGUUGUAGUUUCUUCUCGCUUUUCAAUCGAAAACCUCUGCCUCUUCCACCUUCCGAGAGGUGAGCAGGGCAUACAACAAGGAAGCAGCGCUCCGUCAAACACGCAAGAUUCCCUCCCCCUCCCUCGUCUUCUCUUGCACGGUUAACUCAUCCAUAACAACCGAAUCGGCAAACGCGAGUGGAGGACGAUAAAAAAAAGCAAAAGCUAGAGGGGAAAACAAAGAACAGCGGAGAACGCAGUGCAGCACUGAGUGUGUACUCACCCACCCACCCCCCACACCUACACACACACAUAUACCCAAGUAGUGGACUGCCACCCAACACGCAACCCUUAACAAGGCAUCGUCUGGCAACACAGGCGCUGAAGCUCUCAGAAGCUAGUCAAGCUUUCGGUGUGUUCGUGAGGCACUUGCAGAGCGCCUGUGCUCUCCAUUUUUUCCUUUCACACUCCUGCUGCUUGUUUGUGCGCGGUGCCCCUCUGCUCCUCGCCCACUCGCUCUGUCUCUGUUUCGCCCCGAUAGCAGUCCUCCCCCACACCCCACUGCUCGUACAGGUGCGCCGUGCAGCCUUGUCCACGAGCACGUGCCUUUUUUUUUUCGGACUCUGCGACUGCGAUCUGCUUCUCGGCCGUUCGCUGUUUUUCCUUUUUGCCGUAUUUGUUUUCGCUCUUCUUCGACACGUUUCUGCGUUCCACUUGCACAUCUUAGGGGGUUUCCUCUCCGACUCGGCUCUCUCCGGCUCUUCGGCCAGGUGCCCUUCUUUCUCGGCUUGGCCGGCACGGAGGUGGCACGCAAACACCGCACCUUCACGGAGGCACUUUUUCUCUUCCCUCCCCCUGACACACGACCUUCCUCUUUUCUGCCGUCGUGCGUCUCUUUUCAGAAGGGUACGCGCGUUUCUCCGGGCGUGCAUUGCUGCUGACAAGGGACGCGAUAAAGGAAGUGCCCCCCCCCCCCCCCACUCCCACCCACCACGAUCACGACCGCCACAAUGACGAGCUUCUGGCGGCAGUACGGCAUUCAGCUGUACGGGUUUCUGGUCAAGACAUUCCUGCAGCGAUGGCGUAUGCCCGUCUCCACGACGGUGGAGAUCCUUCUCCCUUGCCUCUUCACCAUUCUGAUGUCCGUUGCCUACUGGGUGUCGGGCAGUUCGACCGUGCCGGCGCAGAUGUACGACGGCGGUGUGUACGUGCCGCUGAACAUGACGGACUUUUUGUCGUAUUUCAUGUGCAAGAAGAUGGGGUCAAUGCUGAGGGUGCCGUGGUACCCGUGCCCGCCUGGGAUGAACGCAUCGUCUCUCACGUGUCUGUCGCUCAUCGGCAACGGCAAUGAGAUUUGCAUCCAGAACGCCUUCUACACGGUGCUGUCCCACAUGCUGUACGGCAUGUACUAUGGCAGUGGCCCGUUCGGCCUGAACACUAUGGACGGCCACCUCACGCUCGCGGCCUUGGUGACCGAGGCGACACGCAAGGAAAACCCAACCUUCUUUGGUCGGGGUGGUAGGGACAGCCUGUCGCACUAUGGCAAUCUGCUGGUGUCGAGCAACUCGCCUGCGCUGGCGCAAAACUUCAUGACGUUCUGCCGCCAAAGCAGCGGCAUGUGCGGCGAGGUACUCUAUGACACACCCUUCACUUCACUGGCUAGUGCCAAGGAGUACGCGGCCACCAACGAGGACACCGUCUGGGCCAUUGUCGACCUUCCGACGGCCUCCCUCGCGUCCAACGGCGAGGCAGAGUUCACCAUCAGCAUGAACUUCACGGCGACUGCGCCGACGGAGAAGGAGCCACAGAAGAGCCUCUUCACGCGCGGCCUUGGCGCCAACGACGGCAGCGACGGCUACGUGCUCUACUGGGCCAGCGGCUUCUUGACGCUGCAGACAUUCGUGCACGAGUUCUACUUGGCGCAGGCGCUGAGCACCCACAACAUUACUGGCCCUUCCACUUACUACACGGAUCCCAGCUCCGACGUGGAGGGCAUCAGCGCGUACCUCACGCAGUACGGCUCCACCUUAAUCCCGAUGCCGACGCCUUCGCGCUACAACAACGCGUUCCUGACGAAGUGGGCCUACUACAUGCCACUGCUCGCCGUGAUGGCUGUUCUGUAUCCGACUUCGCGCCUCGUGAUGCUGAUCGUCGUUGAGAAGUACAAUGGCAUUCGCGAGGCGAUGCUGAUCAUGGGCCUGCAUCCGUCCUGCAUGUUUUUUGGGUGGUACUCCUCCACGCUCAUCAUGGACUUGGUCUCCUCGCUGCUCGCCGCCAUGUUUCUCAAGAUCGGCUUCCUCGACAAGGUGGACUACGGCCUCCUCGUGCUGCUCUACUUCUCCUUCAUGCAGCAGAACACAGCCCUGUGCUUCUUCAUCAGCUCCAUCUUCCGCAACCCACGCGUGGCGAGCUGGUUUAUUGCGUUUGUGCUGUUCGUGUUCGCGAUCCCGUCUUUCUCCUUCCCGACCGGCAUGACGGACAUUCAGAAGAUUUUCUGCUGCCUGGUCCCCUGCAUCGGCUACAUUCAGGCAUUCAAUAUAAUGCUGAACUACGUAUCCUUCGGCUGGCAAUUUGGGUGGUCGCAGGCGCGCGCUGGCUACUUCAACUUCUCCAUCGCGGUCGGCAUGAUGUGGGCCUCGUUUGGUGUGCUGAUGCUCCUCAGCUUCUACUUGGACCGUGUCUCCUGCGGCGCCGUCGGCCGCCGUGCCCACCCCUUGUUCUUCCUCAUGCCGCUGGUGAACCGCUUCCGCAAGACCAGGGCGCCGCUGGUCAAGAUGUGGGACAUGGGCAAGCCGAUUCGCCCCGGUUCUCUGGUCGAGCGUGCCAUCGACGACGACGAGCCGCACGGCGCGUCAUUUGCGAGCUGCUCUUUGAAGAAGGACAGCAAGGAGUUGCCACAGGACAACAGCCGACUCAUCGAGCACUAUCAUGACGUCGUCAGCACACAGGACCCCGCUGUCGCCGCCGUCUUCCAUCGCCUGCGCAAGGUCUACGUUGGCGGCGGCAUCCUCGGCUUCUUGUACACGUACUUCACAGGGUUGUUCCGCGAUGGCGACCGCAUCGUCGCGCUGGACGGCGUGACGUUCGCGAUGCGCACCGGCGAGGUGAGCGUGCUGCUCGGCCCCAACGGUGCCGGCAAGUCCACGAUCAUGGGUGUGGCGACCGGCAUGGUGAACCCCACGAACGGCGAUGUUUACGUGCGUGGCUACAACGCCCGCACACACCUUGAUGAGUGCAGGCAGAACAUCGGGUAUUGCCCCCAACGAGAUAUCGUAUGGCCUCUGCUGACGGUGGAGGAGCACAUCACCUUCUACGCGCGCAUGAAAGGCUCCCACUCAGUGAACGUGCAGGAGAAGGUGGAUUAUGUGGUGGACCUCCUCGACCUGCAUGAGAAGCGCCACUGCAAAGCAAGCAAGCUGUCGAGUGGCCAGCGCCGGCGUCUGUGCGUCGCGAUCGCCAUGGUCGGCGACUCCGCCGUGCUGUUUCUCGACGAGCCCACGGCCGGCAUGGACAUCAAGGGUCGCAAGAUCGUGUACGAAGCCCUGAACCGCACCCGCACCCAGCGUAGCGUGCUGAUCUCCACUCACCUUCUCGACGAGGCCGACCGCAUUGCCGACCGAGUGCUCAUCGUGAACAAGGGCCUGCUGUGCGCGGAGGGCUCGGCGAUGUACCUCAAGUCGCAGAUGGAGGUCGGGUACGUGGUGACGUGCCUACUGGAGAGCAACAUGAGCACAACAGAGGAAAACUGCGCUGCCGAAGGGCUGGUGAACUUUGUGCGCGCCGAGAGCUACGCGGCGCAGCGGGUCGGCGACAGCAGCAACGAGGGGUGCGUGGUGCUGGGGGUGCAGCGGCGCGGGCGCGAGGUGUCUUUCCGCUUCCCGAUGACCCUCCUCAGCUCAGCCGGCAUGACGCUUCUUUCCGUGAUUCAGCUCAACAGCGAGCGGUUGCGCCUGCGCAACGUCGCGCUCAACCUGGCGACGCUCGAAGACGUCUUCUUCACCGUCACUUGCACCGCACCACUCAUGUCAAGCGUGACAGACGGCGAGCUUGUCGGCGGGCGAGGGGACGAAGGCGAUGCGCUGUCGAUCCCUGACACACCGUCGACUAGCGCUGACCUCUACGAGGAGAAGACGGGUUGCUUCUUCGUCUUCUGCCGGCACUUCCGCGCGCUCUUCCUCAAGCGGCUGCACUAUGCCCAGCGCGACAUCAAGCUGCUUGUCUAUCAAGUGGUGCUACCGAUCAUCUUUCUGCUCCUGUCGCUGUUCAUCAGCCUUGUACGAGACCCGAGCCAGCCCGCGCUGCGGCUCGACAUGACUAUGUACGAUGACUACGCCUCCCACCCAUCGCAGGUGAUGACGGCGUACUCUAACUUCUCCGGCUACGUGCAGAACAUGACCCGCUACCCCAUGAAUGUCACGAACGCCUUCUGCCUCAGUGCAAACCUGCCCGACAACGUCUGGGGCUCGUACUACCUGACCGACUUCCGUGAGAUGCCGUCUGGCUUGCCCAACGUGUCCAACGCCAUGAGCCGGCUGCUCCUGAGCGAAAUCAUGUCGCACAAGGAUCCGCGCUACGUUUCCGUGGCGCCGGUAGGAGCGGUGUUCCAGAAGGGUGUGCCGAAGAAAACCCCAACGCUGCUGCACAACACGUCUUACAGCCACUCCGCUCCGCAGGGUGUGAGCGCGCUUUACCACCUCGCCAUGUAUCAGCUCUUCGGCUCCGCCGUGCCGACACCCACCGCCGUCAACUCUCCCAUGAUGCUUGGCGAGUUUGAAAAGACGCUGGUGACAGCCAACAAGCAGGUCAUGGUUGGCAUCUUCAUCAUUCUGCCCUUCAUCUUUAUUCCGUCCAACACGAUCUCCUACAUCGUCGAGGAGAAGGAGUCCGGCGCCCGCCACAUGCAGUGGCUCUCCGGCGCCAAUGUCGUGGCGUACUGGCUGAGCAGCUUUGUGUUCGACUUUGCGAGCUACCUCGUGACGCAGAUCUUGGCCUUUAUCAUCUUCCUCAUCUUCAAUCGAACCGAGUUCAUCGGCAAGGACAACGUCGGCGCCGCCGUUGUGCUCUUCUUUUUUUUCGGCCUGACGUCGAUCCCGUUCAGCUACUUCAUGAGCUUCUUCUUCCGCUCCAGCUUCACGGCACAGUCCGUCGUCUUUUGCAUCAACUUCACCUUCGGCUUCCUGUGGGUGACGCUGGAGUCGAUGAUCGCCGAGCAUGCGCUGCGGUUCGCCGAGGUGGUGACCUACAUCCUUCGCAUCAUCCCAGCCGUGAGCUUCGGCGAGUCCAUGUUCGUGCUCUCGGGCGCGCAGCUGGCGAACUUGAUGUUCCCGAACCGCGCCAAGAAAAGCCUGUUUUCGCUGCUGCACUUUAGCGAGACAGGAAGCCCCACAGGCGGCAUCGGAACAGGCCUCAUCUACAUGUCUUGCGUUGCUGUGGCCUGCACUGUGGCACUCGUGAUUCUCGAGUACCUGCGGCUGCAGCGCCUCGACUCCGCCUUCACGCAGUGCUGCACAAGACCGAACAGCGAGGACGAGGAGGAGCACCGCCGCCUCGAGGAGGCAGAUCCGUCCGUGAAGCAGGAGGAGGACUACGUGUGCGCAGAUAAGACAGGGCCCGAGUCGACCCGCAUUGCGGUGCAGCACCUCAGCAAGCGCUACCUCGGCGCCGAGCACGCCGCUCUCCAGGACAUCUCGUUCGGCGUGAAAGAAGGCGAGGUGAUGGGUUUGCUGGGGCUUAACGGCGCCGGCAAGACGACGGCAGUGAGCAUCCUCGCAGGUGAGGUGGUCGCGACUAGCGGCGAGGCGUUUGUGAACCACUACGCGGUGCAGUCGAUGGAGAGCCGCCCCUUUGUGGGCUACUGCCCGCAGUACGACGCGCUGCUGAGCAAUCUCAGCGCCGAGGAGCACCUCUGGCUGUAUGCCCGCCUGCGCUCCAUCAAGGAAAAGCACAUCAGGGGCGAGGUGCACGUGCUGCUCAAAGAGCUGGGCCUGUACCCGUUCCGCAACCAGCCUGCCGCGUCCCUGAGCGGCGGCAACAAGCGCCGACUGUCCCUCGCCAUUGCGCUGGUCGGCCACACAACGAGUGUGCUGCUGGACGAGCCGACGUCGGGCAUGGAUGCUGUGGCGCGUGCACAGACGUGCGACAUAGUGCGACGUCUCACGGCUCAGAAAUCCGUGGUGCUGACCACGCACCGUCUGGACGAGGUCGAGGCUCUGGCCGACCGCGUCGCUUUCGUCGUGCGAGGCAACCUGCGCUGCGUCGGCACGCCACAGGAGCUGAAGAACGCGUACAACAAGACUGCCGCCUACACGCUCAAUGUGCUCUUCCCCCAUACGGUGCAGUUGCAGGACGCGGACACAACCCUGGUGGAGAAGGUGCGCAGCUACGUGCUCGACACCAUCACCGCCACAGCAGAUGUGAAUGCGCAGCAGAUGGCUCGGUGCGAGGUGGUGGAGGUGCACCCGUGCUCAAUGCAGAUGACUGUGAACGGCGACCUCCAUUCUAUCUGCGUCGCCGUUGCGCACAUGCAGGCGGGUCAGGCAAGCGGCAUUCCGGCGACGACGUACGUCAGCGUGAGCCAGCCGACGCUGGAGGACAUUCUUCUUCUCCAUUAGGAACGCUGCAACGCAGAGACGACACUUCCCGCCACAUGUGCUCUGGCUGUCAUUCAUGUGUUCACGCCUCUCUCCGCUUGCCGCUUCCCUUUUACCUUCGUCGUCGUCCCGUGCGCAGGCCCUCCCCCUCCCCCGCCCCG